This 532-nucleotide ribosomal RNA is filed under the name uncultured bacterium. RNAcentral describes it as "bacterial SSU rRNA". It matches the Rfam family "Bacterial small subunit ribosomal RNA", at positions 8 to 526 of the family's 1533-position model. The record is from RNAcentral.
AGAGUUUGAUCAUGGCUCAGGACGAACGCUGGCGGCGUGCUUAACACAUGCAAGUGGAGCGACGAACCGGGGCUUGCCCCGGGGCAGAGCCGCGAACGGGUGAGUAACACGUGGGUAACCCACCUCGAUGAUUGGGACAACCCGGGGAAACUCGGGCUAAUACCAAAUGUGCUCGUAGACCAUGAGGUCCAUGAGUAAAGAUAGCUUCGGCCUUCGCAUCGAGACGGGCCCGCGGCCCAUUAGCUUGUUGGUGAGGUAACGGCUCACCAAGGCGACGAUGGGUAGCUGGUCUGAGAGGACGAUCAGCCACACUGGGACUGAGACACGGCCCAGACUCCUACGGGAGGCAGCAGUGGGGAAUCUUGCGCAAUGCGCGAAAGCGUGACGCAGCAACGCCGCGUGGAGGAAGACGGUCUUCGGAUUGUAAACUCCUUUCAGUUGGGACGAAGCUCAAUGGGUUAAUAGCCCAGCGGAGUGACGGUACCUUCAGAAGAAGCCCCGGCUAACUACGUGCCAGCAGCGGCGGUAAUAC